UACGUAGGGCGCAAGCGUUGUCCGGAAUUAUUGGGCGUAAAGAGCUCGUAGGCGGUUUGUCGCGUCUGCUGUGAAAACCUAAGGCUCAACCUUGGGCUUGCAGUGGGUACGGGCAGACUAGAGUGCGGUAGGGGUGACUGGAAUUCCUGGUGUAGCGGUGAAAUGCGCAGAUAUCAGGAAGAACACCCGUGGCUAAGGCGGCUCUCUAGUACGGUACUGACGCUGAGACGCGAAAGCGUGGGGGAGCGAACAGG
Molecule: ribosomal RNA, 254 nt
Filed under: uncultured bacterium
Lineage: Bacteria
Description: partial 16S ribosomal RNA
Rfam family: Bacterial small subunit ribosomal RNA
Source: RNAcentral